RNAcentral lists this ribosomal RNA (497 nucleotides) under uncultured bacterium. RNAcentral describes it as "partial 16S ribosomal RNA". It matches the Rfam family "Bacterial small subunit ribosomal RNA", at positions 28 to 507 of the family's 1533-position model. The record is from RNAcentral.
GAUGAACGCUGGCGGCGUGCCUAAUACAUGCAAGUCGAGCGAACAGACGAGGAGCUUGCUCCUCUGACGUUAGCGGCGGACGGGUGAGUAACACGUGGAUAACCUACCUAUAAGACUGGGAUAACUUCGGGAAACCGGAGCUAAUACCGGAUAAUAUAUUGAACCGCAUGGUUCAAUAGUGAAAGACGGUUUUGCUGUCUCUUAGAUAUAUAUCCGCGCCGCAUUAGCUAGGUGGUAAGGUAACGGCUUACCAAGGCAACGAUGCGUAGCCGACCUGAGAGGGUGAUCGGCCACACUGGAACUGAGACACGGUCCAGACUCCUACGGGAGGCAGCAGUAGGGAAUCUUCCGCAAUGGGCGAAAGCCUGACGGAGCAACGCCGCGUGAGUGAUGAAGGUCUUCGGAUCGUAAAACUCUGUUAUUAGGGAAGAACAAAUGUGUAAGUAACUAUGCACGUCUUGACGGUACCUAAUCAGAAAGCCACGGCUAACUACGUG